CUGCAGAUAUUCUUGCUGUUCUGAUUUUUAUAAUAAUCAGGGCAGGCUAAACAUUUGCUAUAUUAAGACCAUGCAUGUGUCCCCAGACCUAGUUAUUUCACUGGGUCUGGUUUUAUAAAUGCUGGUGAUAAAC
This 133-nucleotide small nucleolar RNA is filed under the name Sciurus vulgaris (Eurasian red squirrel). Its description in RNAcentral is "Small nucleolar RNA SNORA72 (ENSSVLG00005011133.1)". It matches the Rfam family "Small nucleolar RNA SNORA72". Rfam says of the family: U72 is a member of the H/ACA class of snoRNAs. The snoRNA gene is located in intron 4 of the ribosomal L30 protein gene in human, mouse and chicken. Lineage: Eukaryota; Metazoa; Chordata; Mammalia; Rodentia; Sciuridae. The record is from Rfam by way of RNAcentral.